This 391-nucleotide ribosomal RNA is filed under the name uncultured bacterium. RNAcentral's name for it is "partial 16S ribosomal RNA". It matches the Rfam family "Bacterial small subunit ribosomal RNA", at positions 338 to 726 of the family's 1533-position model. The record is from RNAcentral.
CCUACGGGAGGCAGCAGUGAGGAAUAUUGGUCAAUGGGCGCGAGCCUGAACCAGCCAAGUCGCGUGAGUGAUGAAGGUUCUAUGGAUCGCAAGCCUCUUUUAUAAGGGAAUAGAGUGUGGGACGUGUCCUCUUUUGUAUGUACCUUAUGAAUAAAGAUCGGCUAACUCCGUGCCAGCAGCCGCGGUAAUACGGAGGAUCCGAGCGUUAUCCGGAUUUAUUGGGUGUAAAGGGUGCGUAGGCGGCCUUUUAAGUCAGCGGUGAAAGUCUGUGGCUCAACCAUAGAAUUGCAGUUGAAACUGGGGGGCUUGAGUAUGUUAGAGGCAGGCGGAAUGCGUGGUGUAGCGGUGAAAUGCUUAGAGAUCACGCAGAACCCCGAUUGCGAAGGCAGCC